Molecule: long non-coding RNA, 2346 nt
Organism: Cotesia glomerata
Lineage: Eukaryota; Metazoa; Arthropoda; Insecta; Hymenoptera; Braconidae
Exons: 2
Source: RefSeq, a predicted model, not a curated record
GAAUUUAUACCACUCGGAAUAAUUAUUACAAUUUACAAAAUAAUAAAUUAAUAUUGUUGUCAUAUUUUUGUAUGACUUGUGUAAUAGAGUACACAUUAUUUACUGGAGAAAAAUGUAUGCUUUCACAGGGAGCUCUCUAAUGCUACGAGGAUCCGGUUAAAGUUGUAAAUGCACAUGUAUCGGCCAUCUAUUGGAUUUUUGUUACAUUUAUUUAGGAAAUCUGUUUUAUUCACAAUUUCUAUGAUGAGCCUUGUCGCAACCAGGUGGCACGACACGACAAUGUUUAGUACAACCACUUGGCCAACCUUAACAUACGAAAUCUCAUAUCCAGUUCUGCAAAAUGUCCCGGACCCCACCAAGGCAUCCUAGGAAACGAACUCGCGGAUAAAGAGGCGAAAAACGCAACGGUUUCAGGCAUUGAUCUCACCUCCACACUCCUCACUACAGCAACAGACUUUAAAAAGAAAGUCAAAAACCACAUCACGACCAAAUGGAAUGACCUCUGGAUCAAUGGACAAUCUCACCUCCAUCUUAUUCGAGAAAAUACAAUGGAAACAAGACCUCAACUGGAAAAAAGAACAGACCAAUGUCAAUUGAACAGACUGAGAAUAGGACACACUGUCUUUUCUCACAGUCAUCUACCAAGUAAAACAAAUCCCAAACCAUGCCCAGCCUGCAAUCAACCCGCCUCAGUAAACCACAUCCUGACGACAUGCUCACAACUCAACAUUCUAAGAAGUCAACAUCAGAUUCCAGCCAAUCUUCAGACUGCUCUCAACAGUGAAAACGUCUACCCACGAAUAAUAAAUCUUCUAAAACAACUACAACUACUAUGCUAAUUCUAAUACUAUAUAUUACAUUAUCUCAAACCCUUUAAACUAUGUUACGUUAAUGUUCAGUACUAAAUUAUGUUAUGUUAUGUCCAUAUGUUAAAAAUAUGUUGUUAAUGCUUACACAAAAAAUUUUUUUUCCCUUUUCUUUUCCUUAUCUAUGUAUUACAUUUUUUGUUUAAACCUAAUAACCUGAUAAUGUACUUAACCCUUCGUUGGUCGCGCUAUGAGCGAUUCCCCGCUUUUUUUUUUCAAUUCGUUAUAAAAAAAAAAAUAAUUUUUUCCAGCCUUAAAAAAUUUAGCUAUUCCUUCUUCAAUUCAUUUAGCAUGCACCUAAACAGUUUUUAAAGUUGUAGGUAUUUUUAUUAAUUAGAUAUUAAAUAAUAAAUGUCGUAAGAACAUGGAAUCGCGGCGAUUCCCCGUAAGCGCGACCAAACCCGACCAUGAAAUUUUAUUCGCAGCAUUGCCAAUUAUAUGAAACUUGAAUAAAUAAAAACAAUAUGGCCGUCAUCAGCUGUUAUAGUUGUUAUGCGCAUGUCCCAUAAAGUUAUUUAUUUAAUUUAUUUGUGCAAUGUUAUUGUAAGUAAUUUUAAUAUAAAAAUAAAAAUAUAAAUAAAUAAAUAUAAAUAAAUAAAUAUCAUUACGUGGAUUGGAUCACAAGAAUAAUAAUAUUACUACUGUGACUACAAAAGUAUUUAAUACUUUACUCAUCAAAGCAUUAAACCGCCAGUGCAAAUCCACAACGUUCUCAUUUAAAAAAUAUCAGUGUUCCAUCAUGCAACCUUCCUCAAACAUCAUUGGCAUCCGGUAAUCAACCAAAUGUAACUCAAGUUGAAAGCAGAAACGAAAGACAACGUCAAAGAUCAUUGAAAAAAAAAUUAUCUGUUAUCACUGAUGCAUCUGAAACUAUUUCUACAUCAACUCAAGAUGACAACAUAGAAGACGAUAAUUUGAGGAAUGAUGAUCAAUUAACUGUUGAAGUAACAUCAGAGGAUUUGCUGCUUGACAAGGUGUUUGAUGAUAAUGUAAGAAGACAAAAGAAUAACUUGCUUAUUAAAAAUUGUGAUGUUGCGAUUCAGGUUGAGAGUGAAUACUUGACUCCCAAAUUAUCAAGUAAAAUAAAAGCUGAUAAACAAUUAAGUACAUUAACUGGAUUAUCUAAUUUUCAAAUUUUAUUGGCAAUCGAGAAGUUAAUCAUCAAUAAUAUUAUACACACUAUCAGAACUGUUAUCCGUUUGUUGUAUGCCACAUUUAAUCAAAUGUCCCGCAUCAAGAAUACUUUCACCACCAAUAAAAUUUUUAUGACUCGGCUGAGUAUUAGCAAACUUACAAAUUUCUUCAAUUAAAACUUUCAUUAUUAAUAAAAAUUUUACUCAAAAUUCGAUUUUAAUGUGACUUAUAAGUACACGAUUCAACAUCAAUACAAGACAGCUGAUUUAAAAAUGCGUCUUAGAGUAGUAACCGCUUCUGCCGCAAGGAGAAGCCACGCCCCCGGCAGAUUUCCCAAUAGUAAAUU